AGGACAGUAGCUCGAAUUGGUAGAGCGGUUGACUCCAAAUCAAUAGGUUGAGGGUUCGAAUCCUUCCUGUCCUGCCA
RNAcentral lists this transfer RNA (77 nucleotides) under Pseudobdellovibrionaceae bacterium. Its description in RNAcentral is "Bdellovibrionaceae bacterium (sponge metagenome) tRNA-Trp". It matches the Rfam family "tRNA". Rfam says of the family: Transfer RNA (tRNA) molecules are approximately 80 nucleotides in length. Their secondary structure includes four short double-helical elements and three loops (D, anti-codon, and T loops). Further hydrogen bonds mediate the characteristic L-shaped molecular structure. tRNAs have two regions of fundamental functional importance: the anti-codon, which is responsible for specific mRNA codon recognition, and the 3' end, to which the tRNAs corresponding amino acid is attached (by aminoacyl-tRNA synthetases). tRNAs cope with the degeneracy of the genetic code in two manners: having more than one tRNA (with a specific anti-codon) for a particular amino acid; and 'wobble' base-pairing, i.e. permitting non-standard base-pairing at the 3rd anti-codon position. Lineage: Bacteria; Pseudomonadati; Bdellovibrionota; Bdellovibrionia; Bdellovibrionales; Pseudobdellovibrionaceae. The record is from RNAcentral.